Molecule: long non-coding RNA, 1371 nt
Filed under: Gossypium barbadense (sea-island cotton)
Lineage: Eukaryota; Viridiplantae; Streptophyta; Magnoliopsida; Malvales; Malvaceae
Description: long non-coding RNA (GBAR_LNC012156)
Source: RNAcentral
AAACACUGAAAACAAAAACCAUAGCUAAGACACAAGUGGUGAAGAAAAGACUUCUUGGUUUAAAGCAUUAAACUGAGGAUACCCCAUCCAAUCACCAAGCUCCACACCAUCUUUCUUAUGGACCAUGUUUUCUGUACUCCACUCUGCAAUAAUCAAAUAACAUCUUGUAUUCAUAUUUUUUCCCACUAUUAUUAUAAUUGGAUAUGCAAAAAAAAAAUAGCUUCAUCCAUUGAAAGCUAAACAUGUUUUUGGAUAAAAAUAUAUUAAAUUUGAAAAAAUGAAUUUAGACUAUAAUAUUAAAAAAUAUUUAAAAAAUAAAUUGGGUUUUAGUUAAAUAUUUGAAGUAUAGACAUAGAUAGAAUUAAUUAAUUAUAAAUAUAGAUAAAUUUCAACAAAAUUUAUAGAUGCCAUUAAUAUGAUAUGUGUGUGUUGAUCCAACCUGAGGUCUAAUUAAAGCUUUCCAUGUCAGAGUUUACGUUAGAAUUUAGAACACCCUCUAUAUUUUUGCUAUAUUAGACAUACUUAAAUUUUAAACCCCAUAAGAGAAUAUGCAUAUACAUAUACAUAUAGAUAUACAUACCGUAUCGGUUCCAGCAGGGCCUGGUGAAGAAGCGCCGAGGCUGGGAGUAGGGGCCUCAUUUGAUGGAGACGGUGGGCUGGAGGCCGAAGGUGAUAGUGCUGGAGACUUAGCUUUGGUCUUGCUAGGGGCCGGAGCUGGAACCGUGGCAGGAGGAGAAGCCAAAGGAGCUGGUGGUGGGGUAGCUGGAGGAGGAGUAGCAGGAGGGGGAGAAGCAGGUGGUGGGGUAGCCGGAGGUGGAGAAGCCGGUGGGGGAGUUGCGGGAGGUGGAGUAGCCGGGGGAGGAGAAGCUGGUGGUGGGGAGCUAACGGGCGGGGGAGUCGCUGGAGGAGGAGUGGAAACUGGUGGUGGUGAUGAAGUAGGAGGAGGAGAGGAAGCUGGUGGCGGAGAAGUAGUUGUGGGUGUUGGAGGUGGUUGAGUAGUAGGUGGAGGUGUGGAAGCGGGUGGAGUCGGCGGCGCCGGCGUGGAUGUCGGAGGAUUACUAGGAGUAGGAGGAGCUUGGCCUAAAACGCCAGCUACAGCAAUGCAAAACAAAGCUGAUAAGAACAAAAACUUAUUAUUAAGCAUCAUAUUGGAAACAAUGGUGACCCUUUAAUCCUGCACACCCUCUCCGCUUAAACUACGCCCAGCCGUGCAAGCAAAUGAGGGAGAAGAAGAGGCAAGUAUGAGAAAUGAAAAGAUGGUGAUAUUUAUAUAUAGGAUAUGGAAAUUUCCAUAUCAUAUUUCAAUUUAAAAUCCCCAAAACAAAUACCAGCAUUUUUAUUUUAUUACUAAUGGGAAAAUUGCAUUACUAA